GAGGGUAUAGCUCAGUGGUAGUGUGUGCUUGGCAUGCACGAGGUCCUGGGUUCAAUCCCCAGUACUUCCA
This is a transfer RNA of Camelus ferus (Wild Bactrian camel), 70 nucleotides long. It matches the Rfam family "tRNA". Rfam says of the family: Transfer RNA (tRNA) molecules are approximately 80 nucleotides in length. Their secondary structure includes four short double-helical elements and three loops (D, anti-codon, and T loops). Further hydrogen bonds mediate the characteristic L-shaped molecular structure. tRNAs have two regions of fundamental functional importance: the anti-codon, which is responsible for specific mRNA codon recognition, and the 3' end, to which the tRNAs corresponding amino acid is attached (by aminoacyl-tRNA synthetases). tRNAs cope with the degeneracy of the genetic code in two manners: having more than one tRNA (with a specific anti-codon) for a particular amino acid; and 'wobble' base-pairing, i.e. permitting non-standard base-pairing at the 3rd anti-codon position. The record is from Rfam. NCBI's taxonomy places the organism in Eukaryota, Metazoa, Chordata, Mammalia, Artiodactyla, Camelidae.